GGACGAGCGGCUGUGUGUUUAUUGCAGGGCAUCGCGAUCUGCCAUCCCAACUGCCGAGCCGUCCGUUCCCGAUUCACCUUUAGACAGUCCUGGAAAGCCCAGCGGGAGAAUCCUGGCGCUGCUCCCUUCCAGUCAAGUGAUUGUAAAUAUAGCCUGGAUGUUGUUUACAUGAACCAUCCGGAGGGAGGAGCGUAGGAAGGAGGAGAAAGAGGAAGAGCGAGGAACCUCCGAGGCUGGCUGGGGUGACGCAAAAGACGGACAGAAAGAAGGAGCUGCAAUUGGGGCGUUUAUCGUGCA
Molecule: long non-coding RNA, 297 nt
Organism: Elgaria multicarinata webbii
Lineage: Eukaryota; Metazoa; Chordata; Lepidosauria; Squamata; Anguidae
Exons: 3
Source: RefSeq, a predicted model, not a curated record